RNAcentral lists this ribosomal RNA (407 nucleotides) under uncultured bacterium. RNAcentral's name for it is "partial 16S ribosomal RNA". It matches the Rfam family "Bacterial small subunit ribosomal RNA", at positions 28 to 526 of the family's 1533-position model. The record is from RNAcentral.
GACGAACGCUGGCGGCGUGCCUAAUACAUGCAAGUAGAACGGAGUGGCGCACGGGUGAGUAACGCGUAGGUAACUGCCUCAUUGCGGGGGAUAACUAAUGGAAACGAUAGCUAAUACCGCAAUCUGUGAGCUGGACCUGCGUUGUAGUAGCUAGUUGGGGAGGUAAAGGGUCACCAAGGCGACGAUACAUUGCCGGCCUGAGAGGGUGAACGGCCAACCUUGGAACGAGACACGGCCCAGACUUCUACGGGAGGCAGCAGGAGGGAAUUUUCGGAAAUGGACGGAAGGCUGACCGAGCAACGCCGGGUGAGAUAAGAAGGGUUUCAGAUCGUAAAGCUCUGUUGUUAGGGAAGCGGUAACUAAACAGAAAGGGACGGCUAACUACGUGCCACCAGCCGCGGUAAUAC